UACACUCCUGCGGGAGGCAGCAGUGGGGAAUUUUGGACAAUGGGCGAAAGCCUGAUCCAGCAAUGCCGCGUGAGUGAAGAAGGCCUUCGGGUUGUAAAGCUCUUUUGUCAGGGAAGAAACGGUGAAAGCUAAUAUCUUUUGCUAAUGACGGUACCUGAAGAAUAAGCACCGGCUAACUACGUGCCAGCAGCCGCGGUAAUACGUAGGGUGCAAGCGUUAAUCGGAAUUACUGGGCGUAAAGCGUGCGCAGGCGGUUUUGUAAGUCUGAUGUGAAAUCCCCGGGCUCAACCUGGGAAUUGCAUUGGAGACUGCAAGGCUAGAAUCUGGCAGAGGGGGGUAGAAUUCCACGUGUAGCAGUGAAAUGCGUAGAUAUGUGGAGGAACACCGAUGGCGAAGGCAGCCCCCUGGGUCAAGAUUGACGCUCAUGCACGAAAGCGUGGGGAGCAAACAGGAUUAGAAACCCGUGUAGUCC
RNAcentral lists this ribosomal RNA (472 nucleotides) under uncultured organism. Its description in RNAcentral is "partial 16S ribosomal RNA". It matches the Rfam family "Bacterial small subunit ribosomal RNA", at positions 332 to 796 of the family's 1533-position model. The record is from RNAcentral.